RNAcentral lists this non-coding RNA (21 nucleotides) under Sclerotinia trifoliorum. The record is from RNAcentral. Lineage: Eukaryota; Fungi; Ascomycota; Leotiomycetes; Helotiales; Sclerotiniaceae.
AUCUGGUUAUGAGGCUGGUUA